This 301-nucleotide ribosomal RNA is filed under the name uncultured bacterium. RNAcentral describes it as "partial 16S ribosomal RNA". It matches the Rfam family "Bacterial small subunit ribosomal RNA", at positions 510 to 808 of the family's 1533-position model. The record is from RNAcentral.
CGCAGCCACGGUAAUACGUAGGGUGCGAGCGUUAAUCGGAAUUACUGGGCGUAAAGCGUGCGCAGGCGGUUGUGUAAGACAGGUGUGAAAUCCCCGGGCUUAACCUGGGAACUGCGCUUGUGACUGCACAGCUAGAGUAUGGCAGAGGGGGGUGGAAUUCCACGUGUAGCAGUGAAAUGCGUAGAUAUGCGGAGGAACACCGAUGGCGAAGGCAGCCCCCUGGGCCAACACUGACGCUCAUGCACGAAAGCGUGGGGAGCAAACAGGAAUAGAUACCCCCGUAGUCCCUGUCUCUUAUACC